Molecule: ribosomal RNA, 235 nt
Filed under: uncultured bacterium
Lineage: Bacteria
Description: partial 16S ribosomal RNA
Rfam family: Bacterial small subunit ribosomal RNA
Source: RNAcentral
CGGGACGGGUGAGUAACGCGUGGGUAACCUGCCUUGUACUGGGGACAACAGUUAGAAAUGACUGCUAAUACCGCAUAAGCGCACAGUAUCGCAUGAUACAGUGUGAAAAACUCCGGUGGUACAAGAUGGACCCGCGUCUGAUUAGCUAGUUGGUAAGGUAACGGCUUACCAAGGCGACGAUCAGUAGCCGACCUGAGAGGGUGACCGGCCACAUUGGGACUGAGACACGGCCCAA